Erpetoichthys calabaricus (reedfish) is the source of this 277-nucleotide long non-coding RNA. RefSeq lists it as uncharacterized. The transcript is spliced from 3 exons. The record is from RefSeq and is a predicted model, not a curated record. NCBI's taxonomy places the organism in Eukaryota, Metazoa, Chordata, Cladistia, Polypteriformes, Polypteridae.
AGUUUGAGUUGGAAAUCAAGAUGGCAAGACACAGAAGUAUAUUGAAGACCACAGAGGAACCUCCAGUUGUGUUUGGUGCUCAGGAGUUUGCUUGUCUGUAUCGGCUUCUACAGGCCUCAUCAGCCACUUACAGAGCCACAGAAGGACAGUGGUGGUCCAUGGAGAGAUGUGCAGCUCUCUAGAAUAUAUCUUGUAACUUGUACAAUUUGAGUAAUUGACACUUUUAAUACAAUUAAAUGCAGCUAGAUAUUCACCUUAACAACAUGAUUUUAUUUGA